This 238-nucleotide ribosomal RNA is filed under the name uncultured bacterium. Its description in RNAcentral is "partial 16S ribosomal RNA". It matches the Rfam family "Bacterial small subunit ribosomal RNA", at positions 96 to 334 of the family's 1533-position model. The record is from RNAcentral.
CGGCGGACGGGUGAGUAACGCGUGGGUAACCUGCCUCAUACAGGGGGAUAACAGUUGGAAACGACUGCUAAUACCGCAUAAGCGCACAGUACCGCAUGGUACCGUGUGAAAAACUCCGGUGGUAUGAGACGGACCCGCGUCUGAUUAGCUAGUUGGUGGGGUAACGGCCUACCAAGGCGACGAUCAGUAGCCGACCUGAGAGGGUGACCGGCCACAUUGGGACUGAGACACGGCCCAA